Salmo salar (Atlantic salmon) is the source of this 83-nucleotide non-coding RNA. The record is from Rfam. NCBI's taxonomy places the organism in Eukaryota, Metazoa, Chordata, Actinopteri, Salmoniformes, Salmonidae.
CUCCCUGUGGCUCAGUUGGUAGAGCAUGGUGUUUGCAAUGGUGUUUGCAACGCCAGGGUUGUGGGUUCGAUUCCCACGGGAGG